RNA transcript from Bubalus bubalis (water buffalo), 2619 nucleotides. It is a transcript of the gene named PBX homeobox 4, with no coding region annotated. NCBI's taxonomy places the organism in Eukaryota, Metazoa, Chordata, Mammalia, Artiodactyla, Bovidae. The transcript is spliced from 8 exons. The record is from RefSeq and is a predicted model, not a curated record.
GGACCUCCUGUCGUAAAAUAACACACAAAUGGUUACUAUGCUGCCUGGCCUGGGUGGCAGUUCCAGUCAGUGCUUCUCCUAACAUUUAUGUCGUUGAUCUCCAGCCUUGAGUCCAUGUCUGUGUACUAUCUGCCUUCCUGAUUCCUCCUCUUGGGAAGCUUAUAGGGAUCUCAGGUACAACCUGAUCAAAACACAGCCCUCCUUUCCAGACCCUCCCCCAAACGUGCUCAACGCUCAAACCCCCAAGGCCCUCCAGUCUCAACGGCUUCUUAGAUAUGACCCCUGAAGCACAUGCAGCAAAAGAAAAAAGAGAUAAAUUUGAUUUCAUCAAAAUGGAAAACUUUGGUGCCUCAAAGUACACUAUAAAGUCAAAAGACAGCUUAUAGAAUAGGAGGAAAAAGUUUGCAAAUCAUAUUAGCAUCUAGUAUCCAGAAUAUAUAAGUCUUACAACUCAACAAUAAAAAAGAGCCUAAUUUAAAAAGGAACAAAGGGGACUUCCCUGAUGGUCCAGUGAUUAAGAAUCGGAAUACAGGGAACUAGAGUCUGAUCCCUGGUCGGGGAACUAAGAUCCCUCUUGCCACAGAGCUACUAAGGCCUCACCCUGCAGCUACUGAGCCUAUGCAUUCUGGAGCCGGCAGGCCACAACAAAAAAGGGAAUCCGUGACCGAGAAACAAAAGGCGGAGCCCGUGACCAAAACAAAAGGCGGAGUCCGUGACCGAAACAAAAGAUCCCACAGGACACAUCGGAGACCUCAAGUGCUGCAACUAAGAUCCAAUGCAGUCAAAAAGCAUGCUCUGAAUUGCCAUCGGAUGAAGCCUGCGCUCUUCAGCGUGCUCUGUGAGAUCAAGGAAAAGACAGUGUCGAGCAUUCAUGGCAUUCAGGAAGUGGGCCCCCCUGAUGCUCAGCUCCUGAGGCUGGAUAACAUGCUGCUGGCCGAGGGCGUGUCCAGGCCUGAGAAGCAAGGGAGGGGAGCAUCGGCAGCAGCCAACGCAGCAACGCCAGGUGGCCGUCCAAACGACAGUGGCCUUGAGAACUCUGACUACAGGGCCAAGCUGUCCCAGAUCCGACAGAUGUACCACUCCGAGCUAGAGAAGUAUGAACAGGCCUGCCGUGAGUUCACCAUGCACGUCACCAACCUUCUCCAGGAGCAGAGCAGGAUCAGGCCCGUCUCGCCCGCGGAGAUAGAGCACAUGGUGGGGGUCAUCCACGGCAAGUUCCAGAGCAUCCAGAUGCAGCUGAAGCAGAGCACCUGUGAGGCUGUGAUGGCCCUGCGCGCGAGGUUCCUCGACGCCAGGCGUAAGCGGCAGAAUUUCAGCAAGCAAGCCACAGAAGUGCUGAAUGAAUACUUUUAUUCCCAUUUGAGGAACCCAUACCCCAGUGAAGAAGCCAAAGAGGAGCUGGCCAGGAGGGGUGGCAUCACGGUCUCCCAGGUCUCCAACUGGUUCGGCAACAAAAGAAUUCGGUAUAAAAAGAACAUGAGGAAGUUUCAAGAAGAGGCUACCAUCUACACAGCCAAGAUGGCAGUGGACGCCACCGAAGUCAGGGGCCCAGGGCACCAGGCCAGCCCCCCAUCGAUGUCCCACUCCAGGUUUCCGUUCCCACUGGAGAUGGUCCCCAUCAAGUCACACAGCCCCGCCGGCUGUGCAGGUGCCGUGGGGACAGAAGGUGCACCCCAGAAGGCUGGUCUCCCCACCCACACAGGCUGCAGGAGGGCUGGGAGCCAUGGGAGUCACGUUCAUGGCCUCCUCCCGACCGAGGGGCUGGCGAGUCCCACCUGCGGCAUCACUGCACCUCCCAGGGUGGGAACACUGGUCCUGACCCUCCAACCCCUGCAGGCUCCUCUGGCCCGUUUCCGCUGACCGGCCCCGGAGACGCACUUAUCCGCCUGCAGACGAUGGCCUGCGUCCAGCCCAGCCCCCAGGGAGGAGGCCUUCUGGCCCAGGCCAGGGGUGGCUGGCAGGUGAAGGAAAUGCCAACCGCUUCACCCGUUGGCAACCCCGGCAGCGUCACCUCAGAUGCAUCUAAUUAAGUGUUGGGACGAACAGAAAAGAGGACGGUGUGACCUGCCGUGGUUCCCUGGCCCUCGAGUUCCUUCAGAAAACCCAGAGCUGACAGCAGAGGGCUCUCCCUAAGCCGCCGGCCAGAGACACGGAUGGCAUCGUCUGCUUAUCAGCUGGGAUUUGAAACGGCUUGAGAUGCUGCUUGUUCUCCCAACCCUUGUCUUUAUAUUUAUACAUACAUAUAUAUAUAGUAAUUUAUGGUUAAGACUAUGAACUAUUUCUACAGGAAAUUCUGGUACCAAUUCUGCCAUUAAAAUUUUGAACUGAUUUUUAUUUUGCCACCAUUCACCCCAGAUUUGUUGCUGGCAGCGGCGGAUGACGCAAGCGCAGUUGUGCGAGCUGUGACCUUUUGCUCACUGGUCCUACCCGGUGCCAGCUCGCCCAGACACUGCCUCCCACCCUGACUUGUGUUGUGUUAUGAAAAUGCAGUUUCGAUUUAAGUCUGUUGUGAGCUCAGGGUUUUACCGGAAUUAGUUUGGCACUUUCUUUCUUCUGUUAAUACAAGUUAUACCAUUUUCAGUUGAAAUGUCAUUCGAGACAAUAAACUUCACAAGCGCU